GACGAACGCUGGCGGCGUGCUUAACACAUGCAAGUCGAACGGAAAGGCCCUGCUCUUGUGGGGUGCUCGAGUGGCGAACGGGUGAGUAACACGUGAGUAACCUGCCCUUGACUUUGGGAUAACUUCAGGAAACUGGGGCUAAUACCGGAUAGGAGCUCCUGCUGCAAGGUGGGGGUUGGAAAGUUUCGGCGGUUGGGGAUGGACUCGCGGCUUAUCAGCUUGUUGGUGGGGUAGUGGCUUACCAAGGCAUUGACGGGUAGCCGGCCUGAGAGGGGGACCGGCCACAUUAGGACGGAGAUACGGCCCAGACUCCUACGGGAGGCAACGGUGGGGAAUAUUGCACAAUGGGCGGGAGCCUGAUGCAGCAACGCCGCGUGCGGGAUGACGGCCUGCGGGUUGUAAACCGCUUUCGCCUGUGACGAAGCGUGGGUGACGGUAAUGGGAGAAGAAGCACCGGCUAACUACGUG
This 468-nucleotide ribosomal RNA is filed under the name uncultured bacterium. RNAcentral describes it as "partial 16S ribosomal RNA". It matches the Rfam family "Bacterial small subunit ribosomal RNA", at positions 28 to 507 of the family's 1533-position model. The record is from RNAcentral.